Molecule: long non-coding RNA, 518 nt
Organism: Oncorhynchus tshawytscha (Chinook salmon)
Lineage: Eukaryota; Metazoa; Chordata; Actinopteri; Salmoniformes; Salmonidae
Source: Ensembl
GACAUAUUGACAGUUUGACUGGAAGGUUCUGAGACAUAUUGACAGUUGAAGGUUCUGAGACAUAUUGAAAGUUUGACUGGAAGGUUCUGAGACAUAUUGACAGUUGAAGGUUCUGAGACAUAUUGACAGUUUGACUGGAAGGCUCUGAGACAUAUUGACAGUUUGACUAGAAGGCUCUGAGACAUAUUGACAGUUUGACUGGAAGGUUCUGAGACAUAUUGACAGUUUGACUGGAAGGUUCUGAGACAUAUUGACAGUUUGACUAGAAUGUUCUGAGACAUAUUGACAGUUUGACUGGAAGGUUCUGAGACAUAUUGACAGUUUGACUGGAAGGUUCUGAGACAUAUUGACAGUUUGACUAGAAGGCUCUGAGACAUAUUGACAGUUGAAGGUUCUGAGACAUAUUGACAGUUUGACUGGAAGGCUCUGAGACAUAUUGACAGUUUGACUAGAAGGCUCUGAGACAUAUUGACAGUUUGACUAGAAGGCUCUGAGACAUAUUGACAGUUUGACUAGAA